This 371-nucleotide ribosomal RNA is filed under the name uncultured bacterium. Its description in RNAcentral is "bacterial SSU rRNA". It matches the Rfam family "Bacterial small subunit ribosomal RNA", at positions 527 to 896 of the family's 1533-position model. The record is from RNAcentral.
GGAGGGUGCGAGCGUUGUCCGGAAUCACUGGGCGUAAAGGGCGCGUAGGUGGCUCGUUAAGUGGUCGGUGAAAUCCCGGGGCUCAACUCCGGGGCUGCCGGUCAGACUGGCGGGCUAGAGCACGGUAGGGGCAGAUGGAAUUCCCGGUGUAGCGGUGGAAUGCGUAGAUAUCGGGAAGAACACCAGUGGCGAAGGCGUUCUGCUGGGCCGUUGCUGACACUGAGGCGCGACAGCGUGGGGAGCAAACAGGAUUAGAUACCCUGGUAGUCCACGCCGUAAACGAUGGGCACUAGGCGUCGGGGGGAGCGACCCUCCCGGUGCCGUCGCUAACGCAGUAAGUGCCCCGCCUGGGGAGUACGGCCGCAAGGCUG